GAAGCACUGCGCCUGCACGAAGUUGAGGCCCAGGUUGAGCGCCACCGCCGUGCCCUGCCCCGCCGACCGCACCUCCACCGGGUAUAUCUCGCCGGGGAUGGUCCAGUACAGCGCACCCCACGACCAGCUGAAGCUGGCCGAGAAGACGCACGUCAGCACCAGCACCGCCACCGCGUACCCCUUGGGCAUCUUGCUGCCGUGCCCCAGGUCUUUGUUGUAUGCAUUGCAUGCCUGGCAGGUGAACAUGAGCGCGCCGCCGAUCGCGAAGAGCAGCUUCCGGCCGUAGCGGUCCAUGGCGACGCCCGAGGCGAUGAUGCCGCCGAUGUUCAUCAGGCCGAGGAUGAUGGCGCCCAUCAGCGCCGCGUCGCUACCGAACCCUAUGGUCCGGAAGAGUAUCGGCGAGAAGAAGGCCGACACGGUCACGCCGGUGAGGUUCAGGAACACGGGGAACGCCACGGCCAUCACCAGGUACGGCCGGUACUCCCGCCGCAGGAUCCGCCGGAACGCGCCCUCCUGGUUCCGCCGGUCGUGCUCCACGGCGGCCAGUAUGUCGCCGAACUCCGCGUCAACGUCCACGCCCUUGCCGCGGACGCGCUGGAGCGCGGCGCGGGCAUGGUCGUGCUUCCCGCGCAGGACGAGGCUGCUCGGUGUGUCCGUGAUGAGCACGGCGCCCAGCACCAUGACGGCGGCGGGGACGGCCGCGAGGCCGAGGGACAGGCGCCAGCCCCAUUCGGGAAUCCGCGACGUGCCGUAGUUGAUCAGGUUGGCGACGAGGUACCCCACGCUGAUGAACAGAGGGAACGCGGAGAUGAACCCGCCGCGCCACCGCGGUGGCGACAUCUCGGCAAGGUAGACCGGCGUGGCCUGGCCGGAGAACCCGAGGCCCAGGCCGAGCAGCAUCCGCCCGACGAUGAGCAUGGCGAGGUUGGCCGCGGCGGCGUUGACGAGCGAGCCGACGAGGAACAUGCUCCCCCCGAUGACCAUGAUGGCCUUGCGGCCGACCCGCCGGGUGACCCGGCUCGCCACCAGCGUGCCCACCAUGCCGAAGGCGUAGAGCGAGGAGGUGAAGGCCGUGAGCGCCUGGUCGUUGUACAUGCAGUAGACGUCCUUGCUCGCGUGCCUCGUCGUCUUGAGUAA
This 1137-nucleotide ribosomal RNA is filed under the name Triticum aestivum (bread wheat). RNAcentral describes it as "partial small subunit ribosomal RNA". The record is from RNAcentral. Lineage: Eukaryota; Viridiplantae; Streptophyta; Magnoliopsida; Poales; Poaceae.